This 1552-nucleotide ribosomal RNA is filed under the name Staphylococcus aureus. RNAcentral's name for it is "16S ribosomal RNA". It matches the Rfam family "Bacterial small subunit ribosomal RNA". The record is from RNAcentral. Lineage: Bacteria; Bacillati; Bacillota; Bacilli; Caryophanales; Staphylococcaceae.
UUUAUGGAGAGUUUGAUCCUGGCUCAGGAUGAACGCUGGCGGCGUGCCUAAUACAUGCAAGUCGAGCGAACGGACGAGAAGCUUGCUUCUCUGAUGUUAGCGGCGGACGGGUGAGUAACACGUGGAUAACCUACCUAUAAGACUGGGAUAACUUCGGGAAACCGGAGCUAAUACCGGAUAAUAUUUUGAACCGCAUGGUUCAAAAGUGAAAGACGGUCUUGCUGUCACUUAUAGAUGGAUCCGCGCUGCAUUAGCUAGUUGGUAAGGUGACGGCUUACCAAGGCAACGAUGCAUAGCCGACCUGAGAGGGUGAUCGGCCACACUGGAACUGAGACACGGUCCAGACUCCUACGGGAGGCAGCAGUAGGGAAUCUUCCGCAAUGGGCGAAAGCCUGACGGAGCAACGCCGCGUGAGUGAUGAAGGUCUUCGGAUCGUAAAACUCUGUUAUUAGGGAAGAACAUAUGUGUAAGUAACUGUGCACAUCUUGACGGUACCUAAUCAGAAAGCCACGGCUAACUACGUGCCAGCAGCCGCGGUAAUACGUAGGUGGCAAGCGUUAUCCGGAAUUAUUGGGCGUAAAGCGCGCGUAGGCGGUUUUUUAAGUCUGAUGUGAAAGCCCACGGCUCAACCGUGGAGGGUCAUUGGAAACUGGAAAACUUGAGUGCAGAAGAGGAAAGUGGAAUUCCAUGUGUAGCGGUGAAAUGCGCAGAGAUAUGGAGGAACACCAGUGGCGAAGGCGACUUUCUGGUCUGUAACUGACGCUGAUGUGCGAAAGCGUGGGGAUCAAACAGGAUUAGAUACCCUGGUAGUCCACGCCGUAAACGAUGAGUGCUAAGUGUUAGGGGGUUUCCGCCCCUUAGUGCUGCAGCUAACGCAUUAAGCACUCCGCCUGGGGAGUACGACCGCAAGGUUGAAACUCAAAGGAAUUGACGGGGACCCGCACAAGCGGUGGAGCAUGUGGUUUAAUUCGAAGCAACGCGAAGAACCUUACCAAAUCUUGACAUCCUUUGACAACUCUAGAGAUAGAGCCUUCCCCUUCGGGGGACAAAGUGACAGGUGGUGCAUGGUUGUCGUCAGCUCGUGUCGUGAGAUGUUGGGUUAAGUCCCGCAACGAGCGCAACCCUUAAGCUUAGUUGCCAUCAUUAAGUUGGGCACUCUAAGUUGACUGCCGGUGACAAACCGGAGGAAGGUGGGGAUGACGUCAAAUCAUCAUGCCCCUUAUGAUUUGGGCUACACACGUGCUACAAUGGACAAUACAAAGGGCAGCGAAACCGCGAGGUCAAGCAAAUCCCAUAAAGUUGUUCUCAGUUCGGAUUGUAGUCUGCAACUCGACUACAUGAAGCUGGAAUCGCUAGUAAUCGUAGAUCAGCAUGCUACGGUGAAUACGUUCCCGGGUCUUGUACACACCGCCCGUCACACCACGAGAGUUUGUAACACCCGAAGCCGGUGGAGUAACCUUUUAGGAGCUAGCCGUCGAAGGUGGGACAAAUGAUUGGGGUGAAGUCGUAACAAGGUAGCCGUAUCGGAAGGUGCGGCUGGAUCACCUCCUUU